Molecule: unclassified non-coding RNA, 329 nt
Filed under: soil metagenome
Description: partial contains 5.8S ribosomal RNA, internal transcribed spacer 2, and large subunit ribosomal RNA
Rfam family: 5.8S ribosomal RNA (bases 1-120)
Source: RNAcentral
GAUGAAGAACGCAGUGAAAUGCGAUAAGUAAUGUGAAUUGCAGAAUUCAGUGAAUCAUCGAAUCUUUGAACGCACAUUGCGCCCCCUGGUAUUCCGGGGGGCAUGCCUGUUCGAGCGUCAUUUCACCACUCAAGCCUCGCUUGGUAUUGGGCAACGCGGUCCGCCGCGUGCCUCAAAUCGACCGGCUGGGUCUUCUGUCCCCUAAGCGUUGUGGAAACUUUCGCUAAAGGGUGUUCGGGAGGCUACGCCGUAAACAACCCCAUUUCUAAGGUUGACCUCGGAUCAGGUAGGGAUACCCGCUGAACUUAAGCAUAUCAAUAAGCGGAGGA